Molecule: ribosomal RNA, 264 nt
Filed under: uncultured bacterium
Lineage: Bacteria
Description: partial 16S ribosomal RNA
Rfam family: Bacterial small subunit ribosomal RNA
Source: RNAcentral
GGCGACCGGCGCACGGGUGCGUAACGCGUAUGUAACCUACCUAUAACAGGGGCAUAACACUGAGAAAUUGGUACUAAUUCCCCAUAAUAUUCGGAGAGGCAUCUCUCCGGGUUGAAAACUCCGGUGGUUAUAGAUGGACAUGCGUUGUAUUAGCUAGUUGGUGAGGUAACGGCUCACCAAGGCAACGAUACAUAGGGGGACUGAGAGGUUAACCCCCCACGCUGGUACUGAGACACGGACCAGACUCCUACGGGAGGCAGCAUG